Molecule: long non-coding RNA, 1056 nt
Filed under: Lonchura striata (white-rumped munia)
Lineage: Eukaryota; Metazoa; Chordata; Aves; Passeriformes; Estrildidae
Description: domestica (Bengalese finch) lncRNA (ENSLSDG00000004536.1)
Source: RNAcentral
AUGUCACUCCUUAGCAAUGAAAGUCUUGUCUUUAGGUGUUGUGGCCAGCAAGGGCCAGGUCUGAACCCUCCCCAGCCCACAGCUCUGCUCCGUUCCACUUGGGAUCUUGCGGAUCCCCAGACCUGCUCCUCUGCCUGUCUGUGUGUCCCUCACAGCAGUGGUGCUGCCAGGAGAGGUGUCACAGGGGUGACAUGCUGUACAGUGCCAUUUAUUCCAUUUUCUCCUUCCUCUCUCAGCCUUUGCUUGCAUGGCUGCUCCUGGGGACACAUGCCCUCCUCUCUGGGGGCCACUGAGCCCCCCGCAAAGCUUCCUUCAUCAGAUGGGGGGCUGCCUUCCCUUCUGUGCAGCUUCUUGUUCCUCUCUCCCCAGGCUGCAUCAGCGAAGCAGCAGAACUGGGACACUGCCAUGGGACAUUUCCUGUGUCCCCAGCCCAGGGGCCUCCUGCUCAGCCAGCCCCCUGCCUCCCUGCACACAAGCUGUGCAUGCCACACUACGGGGGGGCACCUGGAAUCCAGUCUAGGAACAGAAACAUUGCAGACUUUUGUCUUCUCCCUUUUCACCUGCUUUUCCCCCAGAGCAAAGCAGCUGCAGCCUCCCAUGGGUUGGUGCUCAGGCAGUGGUGGCAGCGUGGCUGCUCCUGCUGACAGCCCCAGGGAGCAGAAUUCCAGCUGUGUGCCAGUCACUCCUGCCCAUGACCCCAUCAGAUCUACUCACAGCCCCAGCCACAGCUUCUGCUCCCCUGCUUUCACAGCUAGCCCCCAGAGGUGUGUUGGCAGGAAGGAUGGACUUAAGCUGUGCUUUCCUCAGGAGGCUGUAAUUCCAGAGACUGCUCUCCAAGGUCCUUUGUGUCUCACCAGUGUCCCCACUGAAGUCAGCAGAGCCUUUGGGCUCUUGCUGGGUGGUUCCAGUUGUGGGGGCUUUGGAAACCCCCAAUGCCCUGCACCCCUCGAGCUUUGCUGCCAACUUGGUGGCCAGUGGAACCUCUUGCAGGCCCUGCUGUGCUGUAGUGGGGAGCCUGGGUCAGCUCCAGUUCCAUCCCUGGUUUCUGGGAGGUGA